RNAcentral lists this microRNA precursor (111 nucleotides) under Ectocarpus siliculosus. RNAcentral describes it as "miR3460 stem-loop (esi-MIR3460)". The record is from miRBase by way of RNAcentral. Lineage: Eukaryota; Phaeophyceae; Ectocarpales; Ectocarpaceae.
ACUUACGAUGUAAGGGAAUCUGCAGCUUGUGAGGUGCUGCAGAAAACCCCCCAGGCGCUGGGUUUUUCUUCUGCCGCACCUCACGAGCUGCAGGUUCCCUUACAUCGCAAG